GGAUUAUAUGGCAGAGUAGAUCCAGUCUCUGUCUCAGAAUGGGUCAUCAGAGAAGUGAGAUGAGAGAUGGGGAUCCAGAAUCAUGAAGUUGGGAGAGAUCAGAAGGACCAUCCAGUCCAACCACUGUCAUGCAGGAAUAUAUAAUCAGAGCUGGAAGGGUCUUAUUGUUGAAAUAAUCAGGUAGGUCAACCUAUACUGCUUUGCUUUCAUGAUGGGCAGUGAAUUGGCCACCACACAGUAAAACAAGGGUUGGAAUCCCAGUGAUUAUCCCUAUCAUGUAAUACCAGGUCCCAGUUAAACAAACAAAGGUUUCCCAAGAAACAGGAGAGUUAAGCAAAGUCCCAGUAUAUGAAAAGAAUCAGCACCAAAUGCUAGAGUCCUUGUAGGUUAGUAGUUUUAACGUACACACACAAGUCAUUGGGAGAGAGAUAAAGCCCAAGUUCUGAGUCCAAAUUGUCAUGGUCACACCAAAAGAGUUUCAGAGUUCAUUCAAGAACAAACACAAACCUGAAUUCCAAUUCAAGGUCAACAAAUCCAGUAGCCUGAAAACAACAAAGUCAGAAGUCCAAAUCAGAAACCAAAAUGCAGCAGUCAAGCAUACAGUCCAGAAUCAACAAAACGAAUAAUUCGAAGAGCAUCAGAGUCUAGGUUCACACCACAAAGAAAAAGCAUUGUCUUCUUUGACAAGGAUGAAGCCUUGAGAGCCUUUUAUUCUAUGUUUGCAAGUGUUGCCUGUGUAGAGCCCAUUUCUCUGCUAAUCGGGCAGAUCUGGGAGCCUCAGCAUGCUAUUAUCUGCGAGCUCCUUCAUUCCCAGUUCUCCUCUCCUCCUCACUGUUCCUAAGUUAUUUAUUAAAUUUUAAAGUCAUAUUUGUCUAUAUUUUAUUAUUUAUGGCUGGAAUUGAAAAACUGCUUUAAAAAUAAUUAUGGAGGAGUGAGAGUGUGGAAAGGUGGAAUUAUGAGAGUAUUUGGAAGUACAGUAAUGGGAUCAUGGCUGAGUAAAAUGCGCAAUUGUGCAGAUGAAGAGAUAUGUGAUAAUGAACGUGCUCAUCAUGUCAGUAUGUAUCCUGUUUCAAUGAUUGCUGUAGAAUAGCAGCUUUGUGCAAUAAAGUCAAGUAGGAGUAAUGACAUGGAACCCAUAGUUCACAUGUGAAACAAGAUAUUUGGAAAUGCAUGAAAAUGUUCAUAAAACUAAAUUUCAGUUCUACCAACAGUUUAAAUCAAAUGUAUUUGAUUAAAACAGUUAUUAUCCUUUCUGUUCAGAAAAAAGGGGAAAUGUUCUUACUGCUCUUAAGGGUUCCAAAAAACCAUUGUUAAGACCAUGUUUUAAUAAUAUUUUAAAAUGUAUUUCAGGGGUUGAGGAAAUUAAACAUCCCAUUCACAGCUUGCCACUUCAGCACUCAGUAGGAACAUUUUCUUGAGUUAAUUAAAUACAAGAAUUCUCAUUAAACUCUUUGCUGUAAUGAAAGCUUAUAAUCAUGUCAGCGAAGGGCUCGGUCAACAUUCCAUUGAAUCCUGAUAGCUGAAACUCAGCACUGAUCUUUUCAACUGCAUUAUGGUAGCUAUCCAAACCAAUGGUUACUUUUGAAAGAGGGAUGGUAAAACUUGUUUAGGUUUUUUCAGUGCGUGCAGGUUCAGAAGAAUAGCCCCUUUGUUCAGAGAUGAGCAACUCAAAAUAGAAGAAUGCAAAACUCAAAUUUACUCUUGUAUAAGCAGAGUUCAAGAAAACAGCAACUUCAACACAAUACAGUAAUACGGUCACAGUUCUUGUCAUGGUUUUCAAAGGCACUGUGCUGUGUGUGUUAACUGGAAAAUGAAGUGCAUGAAGCUGAUUGGCUGAGCCUGCAAAGACCUGGGGAUUAAUUUGAUACUGUUUCUGUUCUGCUGCUGCAAAACCUGUUUGGACAAUUUUUUUCAGUGCUGGCUGAAUACUGCUAAUGCAGAGAGCAGUGUACUCAGAGAGAUACCUUGUUAUUUUGAGGCCUGUUUGCUGCUGAGGAAAGAGGGAGAAGAACCAGGACUGCACUCUUCUCUGAAGCAGAUGUAUGGACUGAGGAAGGAUUGCUUAUGACUGUAGACUUCUUGUACUUUCCCCUCUCCCAUUUUGGCAGCUGGAGGAAGAUCGUGGUGUGUCUAUGGGAGAAGGAUUUCAGCAAGGAAGCUACAGUUGUGCAUCCUGAUGGUUGCUUCCCUCAGGGGUUUCUCAUUUAUUCCAAACUGGCCAAGUCAAAACCCCACAUCUGUGCUGUGGAGAAAAGGAGGAAGGGGACUGAAUUUGCAGCCAGAAGACGUAUACAUUCCCAGCAGCUCCUUGCAAAGCCAGCACCUGCUGUGAGACAUUGAUGUAUCGAGACUCUGUGCGUGAUGUUAUAAGGACUCAUGUGAAAUAAAACUAAAUCUUUUACCACCUCUCAGGACCAUCUGGAAAACCUCUUGAUGCAUUUUAUGUCUUCAUCAUAAUCUAUUCUGCUAUGCAUGCCUGCCAAGCAACACAGAUUUGGAGGGAUGGGGAAAGAAAUUAAAAUAGGCCUAGAGUAGAGUCCUAUGUGUAAUCUAUUCACAACUUCAAUCCCAAUGAGUUCAAAAAAAGUUGUUCCCAGAUAUAUAAGUUCAAGAUUACAGCUUGACUCUUAAAAAGUGUUCUUUAAAAUAGUAUUUCUAUCUUGAAAAUGUUUACCUAACUCCAGAAUGCAUGGAGUAGUGUCAGUUGUUUAUUUCUAAUCAAAAGAUGGGUUUCUUGAUUCGUCAGAAGCUUGAUCAGAAAGAAGGAUACAUUGGUGAAAAUUUUGCAUAAUAUUUGUGCAACAAUUUUAAACAAAAAAUAUUGGGGAAAUCCAGGGAUUUUAGACAAAAAAGAACCAAGUGUUUUCGUUACACAGGAUUGACGUCUUCGGUACAAGAUAUUUAUCGUGCAAGAUUGUUGUAUUUUGCACCAAAAAAUACAAUGGAGCCUGGAAAACUUGACAAUUUUGCAGAAUAUCUUCCUGAAAUAGUUAUAAACAUGAAUAUUCAUAUUAUUUGCAGCCAGGAGAAAACUGGAAAUUCCCACCUGCAAAGGUGAAAUGCAGUUUAACUUUAACUAUCCUUGAUGGGAAGGGAGCUGAUGGGCAGGUCUGGCAGUAGGUAGCCAAUCACAGAUCAGGGAGACUGUGAAAGGGGUGGGCUGUGGGUGAUUAGAAUUAUUAAAAGGACAAGACUAAACUGAUUCUAGUUUUUGGGAGCAGAGAAAGAAUGUGAACUUCAAAGAUUAAUGUGGUGUACUAAUGUGUUUUAAUAAAUUUACAUUUGUCAUUCU
Anolis carolinensis (green anole) is the source of this 3292-nucleotide long non-coding RNA. RefSeq lists it as uncharacterized. The transcript has 2 exons. The record is from RefSeq and is a predicted model, not a curated record. NCBI's taxonomy places the organism in Eukaryota, Metazoa, Chordata, Lepidosauria, Squamata, Anolidae.